AUGAACGCUGGCGGCGUGCCUAAUACAUGCAAGUCGAGCGAACAGACGAGGAGCUUGCUCCUCUGACGUUAGCGGCGGACGGGUGAGUAACACGUGGAUAACCUACCUAUAAGACUGGGAUAACUUCGGGAAACCGGAGCUAAUACCGGAUAAUAUAUUGAACCGCAUGGUUCAAUAGUGAAAGACGGUUUUGCUGUCACUUAUAGAUGGAUCCGCGCCGCAUUAGCUAGUUGGUAAGGUAACGGCUUACCAAGGCAACGAUGCGUAGCCGACCUGAGAGGGUGAUCGGCCACACUGGAACUGAGACACGGUCAAGACUCCUACGGGAGGCAGCAGUAGGGAAUCUUACGCAAUGGGCGAAAGCAUGACGGAGCAACGCCGCGUGAGUGAUGAAGGUCUUCGGAUCGUAAAACUCUGUUAUUAGGGAAGAACAAAUGUGUAAGUAACUAUGCACGUAUUGACGGUACCUAAUCAGAAAGCCACGGCUAACUACGUG
RNAcentral lists this ribosomal RNA (496 nucleotides) under uncultured bacterium. RNAcentral describes it as "partial 16S ribosomal RNA". It matches the Rfam family "Bacterial small subunit ribosomal RNA", at positions 29 to 507 of the family's 1533-position model. The record is from RNAcentral.